UAAAAAAGGGCUUCUUUAAAUCAGAAUAGCUGUAGAAAUAGAAAUGUAAGUUACACAUUUGUCGAACAUUCUAAAAAUAAUUUACAAAAGAAGAUAAAACAUUCUCUGAAAAUCUAGAUUUCUUGUUGUUAAACUUUAGGAGCUGUCGAAGAAUACUUGUAAAAUUUUUGUUAUGCCCUAGAGUAAAAUAUUAAUAUCUUUGUAAUGUUAAAGUAUAAGCUAUAGAAAUGUAAGAAAGUUGCUUACAGAUGGGGAAGAAGAAUACGUUUCUGGCAACAGAGGAUGAGAGAGGAAUAUCACCGGAAAAUAGCUCCGGCAACCAAAUACCGGAGACUCUACCGCUGCUCAAGUGACCACCAAUCCACCAUCGUCAACGGCAUAGUGUGCACCUCAAAUUCAAGCCUGAUUCAGAUUAAAAAGAAGAAAAACAAAUAAUUUGUAAAUUAUUAAAAGCUGCAUAAUCACAAACCUAUCUUCCUCUAAUGUGGAAAUUAUGGCUAAAAAAAAAACAGAAAGCUCUUUCUCAAUGAACAAGAAUUGUGCAACUAAGAUAAACUUAUCGAUCUUUGCUGUACCUUUGGAGACAAAGAUCAGAGUUCUCAUGAUUUGUGUCUGAAAGUACGGAUUGGAUUUUUAAAGUUCGGCUUUCUUCG
RNAcentral lists this long non-coding RNA (653 nucleotides) under Capsella rubella. RNAcentral describes it as "long non-coding RNA (CRUB_LNC004486)". Lineage: Eukaryota; Viridiplantae; Streptophyta; Magnoliopsida; Brassicales; Brassicaceae. The record is from RNAcentral.